AGUAAUAUGUCUGAUAAAAGUAAUAAAUUGUAAAUUUAUUUAUGGAAAGGUUUCCUAUUACUA
RNAcentral lists this transfer RNA (63 nucleotides) under Trissolcus japonicus. RNAcentral describes it as "tRNA-Tyr". The record is from RNAcentral. Lineage: Eukaryota; Metazoa; Arthropoda; Insecta; Hymenoptera; Scelionidae.